This 430-nucleotide ribosomal RNA is filed under the name uncultured bacterium. Its description in RNAcentral is "bacterial SSU rRNA". It matches the Rfam family "Bacterial small subunit ribosomal RNA", at positions 354 to 796 of the family's 1533-position model. The record is from RNAcentral.
GUAGGGAAUCUUGCGCAAUGGGCGAAAGCCUGACGCAGCGACACCGCGUGAGGGAUGAAGGCCUUCGGGUCGUAAACCUCUUUCGGCAGGGACGAAGCGAUAGUGACGGUACCUGCAGAAGAAGCCUCGGCUAACUACGUGCCAGCAGCCGCGGUAAGACGUAGGAGGCGAGCGUUGUCCGGAUUCAUUGGGCGUAAAGAGCGCGUAGGCGGCUUGGUAAGUCGGAUGUGAAAACCCGAGGCUCAACCUCGGGCGUGCAUCCGAUACUGCCCGGCUAGAGGUAGGUAGGGGAGAUCGGAAUUCCUGGUGUAGCGGUGAAAUGCGCAGAUAUCAGGAGGAACACCGGUGGCGAAGGCGGAUCUCUGGGCCUUACCUGACGCUCAGGCGCGAAAGCUAGGGGAGCGAACAGGAUUAGAAACCCUGGUAGUCC